RNAcentral lists this ribosomal RNA (120 nucleotides) under Helianthus annuus (common sunflower). The record is from RNAcentral. Lineage: Eukaryota; Viridiplantae; Streptophyta; Magnoliopsida; Asterales; Asteraceae.
GGUUGCGAUCAUACCAGCACUAAUGCACCGGAUCCCAUCAGAACUGCGCAGUUAAGCGUGCUUGGGCGAGAGUAGUACUAGGAUGGGUGACCCCCCUGGGAAGUCCUCGUGUUGCAACCC